This 497-nucleotide ribosomal RNA is filed under the name uncultured bacterium. RNAcentral describes it as "partial 16S ribosomal RNA". It matches the Rfam family "Bacterial small subunit ribosomal RNA", at positions 28 to 507 of the family's 1533-position model. The record is from RNAcentral.
GAUGAACGCUGGCGGCGUGCCUAAUACAUGCAAGUCGAGCGAACGGACGAGAAGCUUGCUUCUCUGAUGUUAGCGGCGGACGGGUGAGUAACACGUGGAUAACCUACCUAUAAGACUGGGAUAACUUCGGGAAACCGGAGCUAAUACCGGAUGAUAUUUUGAACCGCAUGGUUCAAAAGUGAAAGACGGUCUUGCUGUCACUUAUAGAUGGAUCCGCGCUGCAUUAGCUAGUUGGUAAGGUAACGGCUUACCAAGGCAACGAUGCAUAGCCGACCUGAGAGGGUGAUCGGCCACACUGGAACUGAGACACGGUCCAGACUCCUACGGGAGGCAGCAGUAGGGAAUCUUCUGCAAUGGGCGAAAGCCUGACGGAGCAACGCCGCGUGAGUGAUGAAGGCCUUCGGAUCGUAAAACUCUGUUAUUAGGGAAGAACAUAUGUGUAAGUAACUGUGCACAUCUUGACGGUACCUAAUCAGAAAGCCACGGCUAACUACGUG